GAGCGCAGCCAUGUUAGCGCCCCGCCGAGGCGAAAGAGAAGGCGCGCGCGUGCCUGCAAAUCCUUGAUGGACAAUAGCGAGAGGCUGCGCGAGCGGCGUUGUUCUUGGACGGGGCAAUGACUUGGGGGCCACUCAAAAGAAAAGGUGGGGAAUGCCUGUAGUCUAUCAAUCCCUGAAGUUGAUGGUUUGCCUGCCCAUAAAGGCAACAUAAUGGACAAUAUUUCUGCUCUAAGUCAAAGCUACACAUUUAUGAAUAGAAAGGUACCAGUGUUUUACAGCCCUAAGUGGUUUAGAGUCAGCAUAUUGCCCCAACAAUCUGCAUCCUCAUGUUCACAGACUUCAGAAGGAUGGAAGGCUGAGACAACCCUGAACCAGUGAAAAUCGAAUUACCAAACUGCUGGCAAUUGGCAAUCAGCAGAAUUAGCUUGCAUUGUAACCACUAUGCCACCAUGGUUCAUUGAGAAUAUAAAGACAUUUGAGCACAGAAGUUUCCUGGAAUGGAACAACUUUCAGAGGAUAUAUUGGAAACUUUUACUUGCACUUGGGUUAACUUCCUUUUAUUCAACAUUAAUCUUCCCACACUGAUAAAAUUGUUUUCUCCAUGUAAGGACAGAACUACUUGCAUAGCACCAAGGGUGAUUUACAACUACUCUUUAAUUAGAGAAGGAACCUAAAGGCUUGCUUUGCCACAGUAAAAAAGAUUUCUGGUAUAGAUUUGUCUAAGUAUUGCAUAGAUUACAAUCAUGUUUAAAAAGUGUUUAUGGUGUUAAUUCCAGACUUUCCUCUGCAGUUUCAGGGUUGUAAACAAAGAAAGUUACAAAGGUUCAACAGUUGUUUUAAUGUGUUAUAAAUGGCUUUUCUUUCAGUCAUUUGGCUUUCAAAUACAAGGAAUGACUGCUUAUUUUGAGCUGGUAUGUUGUGGUACUGGUCAACCACUCACCUGACCAUUUCUGCCAUGGGCGCCAAUUGUACUUCAGCAUGCUACUGGAAUAUAUCAAAUGACAAUAAAUUGGAUACACUUGCCAGAAGCAAAAUACAUGGCCAGGUGUCAUGUGACUGUAACAAGAACAUACACUACAACUAAAACCAUCAGCAAUUCAAUUAUAUUUCUUUUCUCUGAACUGCAUUCUGCUCAAAGGGCUUGUAUUCACAAAGGAGGUCAAAAGAUACUUGCUUUCAGCUUUUGAUGAUGUAUUUCCUACGCAUUUAGGAGAAAUACUAUCUUUUCACUAUUUAGAAUAUGAAUCAAUAGGUUUUAUUGUUUUUAAAUAGCAGUUUUACAGGUGGGUUCCACCCUUAUUUACAUAACACCUUUAAGUACAAUAUAAAACAAUUUUAUAAAGAUACACAGUACAGAUUUUUAGAAGUCAAGCCUACCAUUACACACAGGAACAUCUCUCUCACCAAAAUACUGCAAAAAGAUAGUUGGAUUACUAGUAUAGAAUUGAUCUAGCAACUUCUUGCGUUCCUUGGCGGGGAGACUGGAGUCUUCAUCAAUAGUUUUUAGUAAAGACACCAGUUCCUCUUUUGUAGUUUUUUUGGCACUGAAAUGAUACUCACAUUCAUCAAGCCUCUGGCAAAAAGUAUAUCCUGGAAUAAGAAUAAAAUUCAUUAUUAAAAAUAACAUAGACGUUUGAGGUAUUUAUAAUGGUUUUCUUAAAUGUUUUCAUAAUAUUCCCCUAUUUAUAAUUCAUAGAGUGAUUCUGGAGAUUUCAAUUUUUUUGGAUAAAGGUAGAAUAUCUGUCUUGCUUAAAGUUGCCCGACUAAUCCCAAUUCUCUUUCCAUGAAGUUUAGGAUGUUUAGUGUUAGAAAAUGGUAAGCACUGAGAUAUUCAGUACUUCUUCUGAAUAGGUUGAAAAUACCAUGUAAAGUUUUGCAUAGCCCAUAUUGAUAAAUUUAUUUACUUUUAAUGUCACUCUUUCUGCAAAAGAGCAGAUUUUUCUAGACUGUUUAGCAGCUUCAUUUUCAUAGUGGACUAUGCCCAGAGCAGCUCACACUAAAGUUUAUUAUUAACAUGACUAAAGCUUAUGAAAAUAAAGUUUACCAAUAUUCAGACUGGAA
Molecule: long non-coding RNA, 2061 nt
Organism: Pantherophis guttatus
Lineage: Eukaryota; Metazoa; Chordata; Lepidosauria; Squamata; Colubridae
Source: RefSeq, a predicted model, not a curated record